GCUCAGAAAGUCUCGACGAGGAAAUGAGUAGAACCCAAACUCAUCGGCUGUGUCUCUGAGACGUGCCUAAUCGCCGAGGCCCCUUCUGGGCCAAACUGAAAAGAGGACUCUAGAUUAAGAACUGACCAGAUGGCAGAAUUCAGCUGCUGGCCGUUCUACCCCACGCCUGCCCUUGGCUGCCGUUCCCUGGGAGCGGAUCAAACACCGAAGAGUCACCGAGGCAAAGGUGAAGACACAGACAAAGAGACUUGACCAAGGUCAGGACCCCAGACACAGGACCCUCCGUGAAAGCCUGCCUGGCUGUGCUCCAGGGAGACAACGACCAGGGCCAUGCAACCAGAAGAUUCCAGUCCUGUUCAU
Molecule: long non-coding RNA, 360 nt
Organism: Herpailurus yagouaroundi (jaguarundi)
Lineage: Eukaryota; Metazoa; Chordata; Mammalia; Carnivora; Felidae
Exons: 3
Source: RefSeq, a predicted model, not a curated record